Molecule: long non-coding RNA, 555 nt
Organism: Drosophila guanche
Lineage: Eukaryota; Metazoa; Arthropoda; Insecta; Diptera; Drosophilidae
Exons: 2
Source: RefSeq, a predicted model, not a curated record
GUUUCAGUCAUUCAAAGCAAUUUGAGUAGAUGUUCCCCUUUUCACGCACAAACUAAACUGAAAAACUAUGGCCGAUGGCUUGGACUUCACGAUACCGGCAUUCCCGGAAAAUAAAACGAUAAAUCCCUAUAGCUACACGUCGCCGUAUGUUGGCAAAUCUGAGAGCCCGGGCAUGAGUUCGAGCAUCUGGAUGGUGCUCGGUGGCUUGAUUCUGGCAGCUCGUAUGCUGUGGUUAGCCCUGCGGGCAACAAAUUCUGAGCCCAUUGAAGAGUUCUGCCUGGAAGGGCAGCAUGCGGAGUGUGCUGAGGAGGAACUGAAGCAUCGGAAGAGAGAAAGAACUGAAACCAGCAGACGGAAGAAACAAUCGUUGAAUCCAUUUGGUGCAUAGUCAGCCCCUCCCUAACUAUGCCCCGCAGUCAUACCGUUAUCAUUUGGGGCACACAUAAUGUCGUCUCCCACACACAGACUGAAACGAGUUUUCAAAAAUACCCAACUAAUGACUUGUGUUCAUCAGAUUUUUUGGCUGCAUAAUAAAAUAAAUUCAACGUUUAAAUA